This 446-nucleotide ribosomal RNA is filed under the name uncultured bacterium. Its description in RNAcentral is "SSU rRNA". It matches the Rfam family "Bacterial small subunit ribosomal RNA", at positions 26 to 518 of the family's 1533-position model. The record is from RNAcentral.
AGAGCGAACGCUGGCGGCAGGCCUAAUACAUGCAAGUCGAACGGAUCCUUCGGGAUUAGUGGCGGACGGGUGAGUAACACGUGGGAACGUACCCUUUGGUUCGGAACAACUCAGGGAAACUUGAGCUAAUACCGAAUGUGCCCUUCGGGGAAAAGAUUUAUCGCCAUUGGAGCGGCCCGCGUCUGAUUAGCUAGUUGGUAGGGUAAAGGCCUACCAAGGCUACGAUCAGUAGCUGGUCUGAGAGGAUGAUCAGCCACACUGGGACUGAGACACGGCCCCAGAAUCCUACGGGAGGCAGCAGUAGGGAAUCUUGCGCAAUGGGCGAAAGCCUGACGCAGCCAUGCCGCGUGAAUGAUGAAGGUCUUAGGAUUGUAAAAUUCUUUCAGCGGGGACGAUAAUGACGGUACCCGCAGAAGAAGCCCGGCUAACUUCGUGCCAGCAGCCGC